UACGGGGGGGGUAAGUGUUGUUCGGAAUUACUGGGCGUAAAGGGCUCGUAGGCGGCCAACUAAGUCAUACGUGAAAUCCCUCAGCUUAACUGGGGAACUGCGUCUGAUACUGGAUGGCUUGAAUCCGGGAGAGGGAUGCGGAAUUCCAGGUGUAGCGGUGAAAUGCGUAGAUAUCUGGAGGAACACCGGUGGCGAAGGCGGCAUCCUGGACCGGCAUUGACGCUGAGGAGCGAAAGCCAGGGGAGCAAACGGG
Molecule: ribosomal RNA, 253 nt
Filed under: uncultured bacterium
Lineage: Bacteria
Description: partial 16S ribosomal RNA
Rfam family: Bacterial small subunit ribosomal RNA
Source: RNAcentral